GCGAAAGUGACGGUACCUGCAGAAAAAGCGCCGGCUAACUACGUGCCAGCAGCCGCGGUAAUACGUAGGGCGCAAGCGUUAUCCGGAAUUAUUGGGCGUAAAGAGCUCGUAGGCGGUUUGUCGCGUCUGCUGUGAAAUCCGGAGGCUCAACCUCCGGCCUGCAGUGGGUACGGGCAGACUAGAGUGCGGUAGGGGAGAUUGGAAUUCCUGGUGUAGCGGUGGAAGGCGCAGAUAUCAGGAGGAACACCGAUGGCGAAGGCAGAUCUCUGGGCCGUAACUGACGCUGAGGAGCGAAAGGGUGGGGAGCAAACAGGCUUAGAUACCCUGGUAGUCCACCCCGUAAACGUUGGGAACUAGUUGUGGGGUCCAUUCCACGGA
Molecule: ribosomal RNA, 378 nt
Filed under: Microbacterium oxydans
Lineage: Bacteria; Bacillati; Actinomycetota; Actinomycetes; Micrococcales; Microbacteriaceae
Description: bacterial SSU rRNA
Rfam family: Bacterial small subunit ribosomal RNA
Source: RNAcentral